RNAcentral lists this ribosomal RNA (254 nucleotides) under uncultured bacterium. RNAcentral's name for it is "partial 16S ribosomal RNA". It matches the Rfam family "Bacterial small subunit ribosomal RNA", at positions 524 to 777 of the family's 1533-position model. The record is from RNAcentral.
UACGUAGGGUACAAGCGUUGUCCGGAAUUAUUGGGCGUAAAGAGUUCGUAGGCGGUUUGUCGCGUCCGCUGUGAAAUCUCGAGGCUCAACUUCGAGCUGUCGGUGGAAACUAUCUGGCUAGAGUCCGGAAGAGGAGAAUGGAAUUCCUGGUGUAGCGGUGAAAUGCGCAGAUAUCAGGAAGAACACCCGUGGCGAAGGCGGGUCUCUGGGCCGUAACUGACGCUAAGGAGCGAAAGCGUGGGGAGCGAACGAGG